Molecule: non-coding RNA, 145 nt
Organism: Pseudomonas alkylphenolica
Lineage: Bacteria; Pseudomonadati; Pseudomonadota; Gammaproteobacteria; Pseudomonadales; Pseudomonadaceae
Source: Rfam
AUUCUGUCACCAUCUGUUGCUAACUCCGGUCAGCACCAUGCCAGCAGCCACGGUCCCCAGGCUGCGACGUGGAGGUUCCACGUAGACCGAUCCAGUCCGCUACGCAUCGUUUUACGCGGACGUGCGCCACACCUAGCGCCGAUGC